This 440-nucleotide ribosomal RNA is filed under the name uncultured bacterium. RNAcentral describes it as "bacterial SSU rRNA". It matches the Rfam family "Bacterial small subunit ribosomal RNA", at positions 338 to 795 of the family's 1533-position model. The record is from RNAcentral.
CCUACGGGUGGCAGCAGUGGGGAAUCUUGCACAAUGGAGGAAACUCUGAUGCAGCGAUGCCGCGUGAGUGAAGAAGGCCUUUGGGUUGUAAAGCUCUUUUGUAGGGGAAGAUAAUGACUGUACCCUAAGAAUAAGGUCCGGCUAACUUCGUGCCAGCAGCCGCGGUAAUACGAAGGGACCUAGCGUAGUUCGGAAUUACUGGGCGUAAAGCGCGCGUAGGCCGUUGAGUUAGUUAAUUGUGAAAUCCCAAAGCUUAACUUUGGAACUGCAAUUAAAACUGCUCGACUAGAGUUUGAUAGAGGAAAGCGGAAUACAUAGUGUAGAGGUGAAAUUCGUAGAUAUUAUGUAGAACACCAGUUGCGAAGGCGGCUUUCUGGGUCAACACUGACGCUGAGGCGCGAAAGUAUGGGUAGCAAAGAGGAUUAGAUACCCCUGUAGUC